GACGAACGCUGGCGGCGUGCUUAACACAUGCAAGUCGAACGGAAAGGCCCUGCUUUUGUGGGGUGCUCGAGUGGCGAACGGGUGAGUAACACGUGAGUAACCUGCCCUUGACUUUGGGAUAACUUCAGGAAACUGGGGCUAAUACCGGAUAGGAGCUCCUGCUGCAUGGUGGGGGUUGGAAAGUUUCGGCGGUUGGGGAUGGACUCGCGGCUUAUCAGCUUGUUGGUGGGGUAGUGGCUUACCAAGGCUUUGACGGGUAGCCGGCCUGAGAGGGUGACCGGCCACAUUGGGACUGAGAUACGGCCCAGACUCCUACGGGAGGCAGCAGUGGGGAAUAUUGCACAAUGGGCGGAAGCCUGAUGCAGCAACGCCGCGUGCGGGAUGACGGCCUUCGGGUUGUAAACCGCUUUCGCCUGUGACGAAGCGUGAGUGGCGGUAAUGGGUAAAGAAGCACCGGCUAUCUACGUG
RNAcentral lists this ribosomal RNA (468 nucleotides) under uncultured bacterium. Its description in RNAcentral is "partial 16S ribosomal RNA". It matches the Rfam family "Bacterial small subunit ribosomal RNA", at positions 28 to 507 of the family's 1533-position model. The record is from RNAcentral.